GCGGAUGUGGCGAAAUUGGCAGACGCGCUGGAUUUAGGUUCCAGUUCCCGCAAGGGAGUGAAGGUUCAAGUCCUUUCAUCCGCACCA
Molecule: transfer RNA, 87 nt
Filed under: Terriglobia bacterium
Lineage: Bacteria; Pseudomonadati; Acidobacteriota; Terriglobia
Also listed under: 1 other name
Description: tRNA-Leu
Rfam family: tRNA
About the family: Transfer RNA (tRNA) molecules are approximately 80 nucleotides in length. Their secondary structure includes four short double-helical elements and three loops (D, anti-codon, and T loops). Further hydrogen bonds mediate the characteristic L-shaped molecular structure. tRNAs have two regions of fundamental functional importance: the anti-codon, which is responsible for specific mRNA codon recognition, and the 3' end, to which the tRNAs corresponding amino acid is attached (by aminoacyl-tRNA synthetases). tRNAs cope with the degeneracy of the genetic code in two manners: having more than one tRNA (with a specific anti-codon) for a particular amino acid; and 'wobble' base-pairing, i.e. permitting non-standard base-pairing at the 3rd anti-codon position.
Source: RNAcentral